This 381-nucleotide ribosomal RNA is filed under the name uncultured bacterium. RNAcentral describes it as "bacterial SSU rRNA". It matches the Rfam family "Bacterial small subunit ribosomal RNA", at positions 790 to 1167 of the family's 1533-position model. The record is from RNAcentral.
GUAGUCCACGCCCUAAACGAUGGAUACUCGCUGUGACUGGUAUUGACCCCGGUCGUAGCCUAGCUAACGCGUUAAGUAUCCCGCCUGGGGAGUACGGUCGCAAGAUUAAAACUCAAAGGAAUUGACGGGGACCCGCACAAGCGGUGGAUUAUGUGGUUUAAUUCGAAGCAACGCGAAAAACCUUACCUAGCCUUGACUUCCAGAUGAAUUUUUGUGGAAACAUGAAAAGUCCCGCAAGGGACGUCUGAGACAGGUGCUGCAUGGCUGUCGUCAGCUCGUGUCGUGAGAUGUUCGGUUAAGUCCGGCAACGAGCGCAACCCUUGUCUUUAGUUGCCAUCAUUAAGUUGGGCACUCUAGAGAGACUGCCGAUGUCAAAUCGGA